This 394-nucleotide ribosomal RNA is filed under the name Bacillus amyloliquefaciens. RNAcentral describes it as "bacterial SSU rRNA". It matches the Rfam family "Bacterial small subunit ribosomal RNA", at positions 89 to 479 of the family's 1533-position model. The record is from RNAcentral. Lineage: Bacteria; Bacillati; Bacillota; Bacilli; Caryophanales; Bacillaceae.
AUGUUAGCGGCGGACGGGUGAGUAACACGUGGGUAACCUGCCUGUAAGACUGGGAUAACUCCGGGAAACCGGGGCUAAUACCGGAUGGUUGUUUGAACCGCAUGGUUCAAACCUAAAAGGUGGCUUCGGCUACCACUUACGGAUGAACCCGCGGCGCAUUAGCUAAUUGGUGAGGUAAUGGCUCACCCAGGCCUGGAUGCAUAGCCGACCUGAGAGGGUGAUCGGCCACACUGGGACUGAACUCCUGCCCAAACUCCUACGGGAGGCAGCAGUAGGGAAUCUUCCGCAAUGGACGAAAGUCUGACCGAGCAACGCCGCGUGAGUGAUGAAGGUUUUCGGAUCGUAAAGCUCUGUUGUUAGGGAAGAACAAGUACCGUUCGAAUAGGGCGGUACC